Molecule: ribosomal RNA, 462 nt
Filed under: uncultured bacterium
Lineage: Bacteria
Description: partial 16S ribosomal RNA
Rfam family: Bacterial small subunit ribosomal RNA
Source: RNAcentral
GAUGAACGCUGACAGAAUGCUUAACACAUGCAAGUCAUUGGCGAAGCUGCGCUUGCGCAGUCUAGCCAAGGCGGACGGGUGAGUAACGCGUAAGGAACUUGCCCUGCAGACAGGGAUAACAGACGGAAACGACUGAUAACACCUGGUAUUGUCAGGCUGGCGCAUGGCGGCCUGAUGAAAGGAGACGCUGCAGGAGAGCCUUGCGUCCUAUUAGCUAGUUGGUGGGGUAACGGCCCACCAAGGCGAUGAUAGGUAGCCGGCCUGAGAGGGUGAACGGCCACAAGGGGACUGAGAUACGGCCCUUACUACUACGGGAGGCAGCAGUGGGGAAUAUUGGACAAUGGGGGCAACCCUGAUCCAGCAAUUCUGUGUGCACGAAGAAGGUUUUCGGAUUGUAAAGUGCUUUCAGCAGGGAAGAAGAAAGUGACGGUACCUGCAGAAGAAGCGACGGCUAAAUACGUG